RNAcentral lists this ribosomal RNA (253 nucleotides) under uncultured bacterium. RNAcentral describes it as "partial 16S ribosomal RNA". It matches the Rfam family "Bacterial small subunit ribosomal RNA", at positions 524 to 776 of the family's 1533-position model. The record is from RNAcentral.
UACGAAGGGUGCAAACGCUGCUCGGAAUUACUGGGCGUAAAGGGCGCGUAGGCGGCCUUCUAAGUCGAACGUGAAAUCCCUGGGCUCAACCCAGGAACUGCGUCCGAUACUGGAAGGCUUGAAUCCGGGAGAGGGAUGCGGAAUUCCAGGUGUAGCGGUGAAAUGCGCAGAUAUCAGGAGGAACACCGGUGGCGAAGGCGGAUCUCUGGGCCUUGCCUGACGCUGAGGCGCGAAAGCUAGGGGAGCGAACAGG